CGCCCCGUGAACGAUGAAGGUCUUCGGAUCGUAAAGUUCUGUUGUUAGGGAAGAACAAGUACCGUGCGAAUAGCGGUACCUUGACGGUACCUAACGAGGAAGCCCCGGCUAACUACGUGCCAGCAGCCGCGGUAAUACGUAGGGCAAGCGUUGUCCGGAAUUAUUGGGCGUAAAGCGCGCGCAGGCGGUUCCUUAAGUCUGAUGUGAAAGCCCACGGCUCAACCGUGGAGGGUCAUUGGAAACUGGGGAACUUGAGGACAGAAGAGGAGAGUGGAAUUCCACGUGUAGCGGUGUAAUGCGUAGAUAUGUGGAGGAACACCAGUGGCGAAGGCGACUCUCUGGUCUGUUUCUGACGCUGAGGUGCGAAAGCGUGGGUAGCAAACAGGAUUAGAUACCCUGGUAGUCCACGCCGUAAACGAUGAGUGCUAGGUGUUAGGGGGCUUCCACCCCUUUGCUGAAGUUAACGCAUUAAGCACUCCGC
RNAcentral lists this ribosomal RNA (481 nucleotides) under Halobacillus sp. MG-12. RNAcentral's name for it is "bacterial SSU rRNA". It matches the Rfam family "Bacterial small subunit ribosomal RNA", at positions 395 to 872 of the family's 1533-position model. Lineage: Bacteria; Bacillati; Bacillota; Bacilli; Caryophanales; Bacillaceae. The record is from RNAcentral.